This 583-nucleotide ribosomal RNA is filed under the name Melanostoma univittatum. Its description in RNAcentral is "eukaryotic LSU rRNA". Lineage: Eukaryota; Metazoa; Arthropoda; Insecta; Diptera; Syrphidae. The record is from RNAcentral.
AGUACGUGAAACUGCUUAGAGGUUAAGCCCGAUGAACCUGAAUAUCCGUUAUGGAAAAUUCAUCAUUAAUACUAUGAUAUUUAUAAUAUUAUAGAAAUAGUGUGCAAUUUUUCCAUAUAAGGACAUUGUAAUCUGUUAAUGUAAUAAAGAUUUAUUAAAAGAUCCUUUACUCAAGUUUAUUCAAAUUAGUUAUUUUCGGAUUUCUAACAUAGAAUAAAUGUAUUGGAUUUGAUAAAUCAUUGACAGAUUUAAUUAUAUAUUGCGCUUAAAUUUUUCGGAAUUUUACAAUGACAAAUAGAUCUAUUGAUUUAAUUGUUUAUAUUGUAUGCGCUUUUAUGAUUAACAAUGCGAUAGAUUCAGGAUACCUUCGGGACCCGUCUUGAAACACGGACCAAGGAGUCUAACAUAUGUGCAAGUCAUUGGGUAUUUUUAAUAAAACCCAAUGGCAUAAUUAACUUAACUGUUAAAAUGGGAUUAGUUUAUGUUUUAUUAUGAAAUAUUAAUUCAAUCCCGGGGCGUUCUAUACAGUUAUGUAUAAUAAUAUUUAUAUUAUUUAUGCCUCUAACUAGAGCGUACCUUGAGC